This 73-nucleotide transfer RNA is filed under the name Candidatus Melainabacteria bacterium GWA2_34_9. RNAcentral's name for it is "tRNA-Ala". It matches the Rfam family "tRNA". From Rfam's summary of the family: Transfer RNA (tRNA) molecules are approximately 80 nucleotides in length. Their secondary structure includes four short double-helical elements and three loops (D, anti-codon, and T loops). The record is from RNAcentral. Lineage: Bacteria; Bacillati; Candidatus Melainabacteria. RNAcentral also lists the same sequence under 2 other names.
GGGGCGUUAGCGCAGUUGGUAGCGCAUCACACUGGCAGUGUGGGGGUCAGGAGUUCGAAUCUCCUACGCUCCA